RNAcentral lists this ribosomal RNA (471 nucleotides) under uncultured bacterium. RNAcentral describes it as "bacterial SSU rRNA". It matches the Rfam family "Bacterial small subunit ribosomal RNA", at positions 355 to 825 of the family's 1533-position model. The record is from RNAcentral.
UGGGGAAUUUUGGACAAUGGGCGCAAGCCUGAUCCAGCAAUGCCGCGUGAGUGAAGAAGGCCUUCGGGUUGUAAAGCUCUUUCAGUCGAGAAGAAAAGGUUGUGACCAAUAAUCACAACUCAUGACGGUAUCGACAGAAGAAGCACCGGCUAACUACGUGCCAGCAGCCGCGGUAAUACGUAGGGUGCGAGCGUUAAUCGGAAUUACUGGGCGUAAAGGGUGCGCAGGCGGUUUUGUAAGUCAGAUGUGAAAUCCCCGGGCUUAACCUGGGAACUGCGUUUGAAACUACAAGACUGGAGUGUGGCAGAGGGGGUGGAAUUCCAUGUGUAGCAGUGAAAUGCGUAGAGAUAUGGAAGAACAUCGAUGGCGAAGGCAGCCCCCUGGGUUAACACUGACGCUCAUGCACGAAAGCGUGGGGAGCAAACAGGAUUAGAUACCCACGUAGUCCCUGAGCGGGCUGGCAAGGCGCAU